RNAcentral lists this long non-coding RNA (333 nucleotides) under Ananas comosus (pineapple). Its description in RNAcentral is "long non-coding RNA (ACOM_LNC008392)". The record is from RNAcentral. Lineage: Eukaryota; Viridiplantae; Streptophyta; Magnoliopsida; Poales; Bromeliaceae.
AAGGUAAAAAAAAAAAAACAAUGAUACCAAAUAAUAGGGGUGGCAAUCCAGCUCGAUGUUCGCGAGCCAGCUCGUGUUCGACUCGAAAUGAGCUCGAGAUCGAAUCGCUCGUUUAGUAAACGAGCUGAAUACGAGCUAAAUUUUCCAGCUCGUUUAAUAAACGAGUCGAACACGGGCUCGGGUCAGCUCGCUUGUGUUUAGCUCGAUAACAGCUCGAAUACAUAUAUUUUAUAUUUAUAUAAUUUAUUUAAUUUAUAUUUUUAUAUAUAAAUAAAUAAUUAUAUAUAGUAUAUAUUUUUAUUAUUUAAUUUUUAGCAAAAUAAAAAUAUAAAU